GUGGUAAAAAUCAAAGUAGUUUUAUUAUUUUUCGAUUUUGUUGUUUUCAUAAGAAAACUUUUAUUUAUCAAAAUCUCUCCUACAGAAGACGGAGUUUCAGAAAUUUUAGGUCGACUUGAAGCUCUUCUCCUGGGCAAAAUACUUCUAACCACUUAUUCAUAUAAAUAAUUCUUACUUACUUCAGGACAUCUAAUAUCAUUGAUAAUUAACGGACGACGACUGCUGUACUCUGAGCAGUGAAUUGAUAACUCAAGUGCCAUUCAAGCUGAUGCAUUAAGCGCUAGGAUCUGCUGAUCGAAAUAAAAGAAAUCUAAAGA
This is a long non-coding RNA of Cotesia glomerata, 317 nucleotides long. RefSeq lists it as uncharacterized. Lineage: Eukaryota; Metazoa; Arthropoda; Insecta; Hymenoptera; Braconidae. The record is from RefSeq and is a predicted model, not a curated record. The transcript has 2 exons.